This is a long non-coding RNA of Triticum aestivum (bread wheat), 4136 nucleotides long. RefSeq lists it as uncharacterized. The record is from RefSeq and is a predicted model, not a curated record. The transcript is spliced from 10 exons. Lineage: Eukaryota; Viridiplantae; Streptophyta; Magnoliopsida; Poales; Poaceae.
GCGAGAGAAAGGCAGCGACCGAGAAAAUAUCUCCUCUCUCUCCCUCCUUCCCUCCUCUUCUCCAGUUCUCCAUGCCGUCGCCGCCGCCGCCGCCUUCUCCUCUUCCCCGUCCCUCACGGCCGCCUCGCCCCCUCCGCCUUCAGCGCCUCCUCCUCCUCCCCUUCCUCUCCUCCUUCCCUGCCUCCGGAUCCAGACCACGUGAUGCGGACGAUGCAGCGCCAUGGAUUAGUCCUGCUGCAAGAGGUGGCUGGAGAAGAUGAGAGGGAGAGAGAGAAGGAAGGAGCGGAGGGAGAAAGAGAGAGGAAAGAGUAGCUGGAGAUGCGUCGGCCGGCGUGCGCGCUGGCAAGGUUGGGCGGGACCUGGCGGUUGGCGGCGGCUCGAUCCACUCCUAAUCGGGAGCUGAGCCUGCAUCUCCGCCACUGCGCCUUGUUUCUCUCUCCACCGCCACCUCUCCUCGCCUCUCCUUCCAAUGUCGGUCGCCGCCGCCCUCCCCGUACCUCCCCCUCAUGGCUCCUCUCUUUAUCACCGGCGCCAUGGCUGUGCUCGGAGGAGGACCGCCGAUGCCAGGUUGACGAGGAUGAUGAGGUAACUGUUGGCGAGGGCAAAGCGAAGUCGUCAGAUCCGUCACCACCGCUAUUCUCCUAUUCACCACCGCCGCUGUUCUCCUACUCGCCGCCUCCGUCGUCCACAUGCUCCUCCUCACGACCAUGAAAGUUGGCUGAGGUCUAGCCUCCCAUCCAUACGCAGUUUUUCAGAUUAUGCAAGUAUAUGCUUGGUCUGCAUAUUAGUACCGGCUAGCGAGCACAGGAACGACGACUUGGAUCUAAUGACUUGAUAUUCCAAUCCACCGAGAAAUCAGUUUUGACUCAAAAUGAUGGUAAGGUGUCACCAAAAGUGCUUUCUAUUCUUCCCAUGCACCACACCGUACCAACAAAGGCAAAAUUUGUUUGUGUGAAAGCAUCUGAACCAUUGGCUUAUUUGUUUCUCUGGUGAAUAAAUUGUGUCUGAAUGCAGCAUGCCUGAACCAUGAGCAUUAUUUGUUUGUCCGCUAAGCAAAUUGUGUCUGGAUGCAGAAAGUGAAAGCAUCAGAUUGAGUGAUUCAGAUCAAUUCUUGGUUGUAUGCCUGUGAGAGAGCUGGCAGGACGAACAAGGAAUUUUACAAAACGGUGCUCAGUGAGCUGGGCUCUCCUUCCACUAAUAUGAAUGCCUAGCCUCAAACUUGCCUUACUUUUUUUGGAAUUGCUCUUUUUAUCUGUUGGAUCAUUCUUUUGUUUGUAAGAAAUUUCUGCAUUUUAGUGUAACCUAAAUUUGCUCAUUCCAGUAUUUGUUGAUAUCAGUAGUGGAAUGUUGUCCUUUCCUCUCUCUCUCUUUCUCUCUCUCUCUCAUUAUUUCAGGUCAUUAGAUUCAUGCAUUACAGUUAACUGUUUUUAGUGGUGUCAUGGUUAUAUUGGGAAAAGGUGAAACUUUGCUUUCCUUUGGAAGUUUAGUUACAACAGGAGCGUGCAUUCUAUAUAUUAAAAAGUUUAAACACCCACCACUACAAUAUCUUCAUAAGAAUCUUUUUUCUACAGUUAGCACAAAGAAGAUGCUUCUGGCCUACUACAUGAACUCGUUCUUGCCGACUUUAUCCUCUGUUUAUUUGCUCCGCGAGGUUGUUUGUUGGUUCGUGGGACGUCUGUGUCGUUAACCAACAAGGUUUCCGAUUUCCUUUUGUUCUACAGGCGUUGUUAUCAUUACUUCCUCUCCCCUCGCUGGCUCGUCAUCUGCUUGCUAUCAAGGUUUGUGCUUCCUGUUUGACCUUUGUCUUCUCAUACUGCUGUAGUACUACCAAGGCACGGUUGAUCUUCUAUGGUCUUCGAAGCAUGACUUUAACUACUGAUACAUACACAACUAGAUGGAUUGGACAUUUAUGAAUGUCAUCAUUGUAUUUAUCUUACAAAAUGUGUGAAUCUAACUAAUUACAAGUGAAAACAUUUCUUGCCAUCGAAACGGAAUGGUAGUUUCCCCUGCAUUGUGAUAAUUAAUUUACAUCUGCAUUAUAGUAAGCUCGAAAUCCGAUAAAGUGUCAUCAGAAAUGAGCAUGGAUUAGUUUAUGAAUAAGAAAGCUUUCUUACUCCAGUGGAGCUUAGUGUCGCAGCAAUAUCUCGGUUUUGCUUCUCCGCAAGAACUCUAACUAUAUGUAAUAGUGCUAUAACUUUCAGCAUCGCAUAAAGUACAUCAAAAGUUGUCCUCAAUCACCACUACUAUUCUAAUUUUCAUUGCAGCUUUGUGAAAUAAGUUUUGUCAUCUCACUGAAUGUUAAAAACAAUCACGGUACCUUAAGUAAAAGCAUAGAACUGCCAAAGUAGCACAGUCCUUUCAAAGUAAAAUUCUCACUCACCGUUUUGAUUCAGCAGGAUUGAUUUUCAAAUAAUAUAGGAGAGUGGAUGGUUCUAUUCUUCGGUUUUGAAUGGCAUAACAUAAGGAGAGUAGCCUAUUGUAAAUUUCGCAUACUGAUCCAGAGUCAUCAAUCCUUUCGGAGGUGAUUCCGUCGCAAUCUUGGUUAAGUGUGUUCACUUUGCAGCAAUGUCACCAUGGGAUCACAAUCACUUGAUCGAACAUAUAAAUCCAGCUAGAGUACCCGCCAUUCCAGCGCCCUUCCCGUCUCAAAUUCAUCCUGCCCGCUCGAUUCGCCUCGCUGGCCCUGGUAAAAGUACUUUUCAUCGACCUGGUAAAGAUCCAGUUGCUCAUUAUUUUGUAUGCCGCGUAAUGGGGCUAGGAGCAACUGAUGAGUGGGCCAGGCUUGCGCGCGGGCCAGCCUCGCAGCGACGCGGUCGGGGCGUGCUUCUGUCGAUGAAAAGCAGGGCCGGAUCGCUCGUGUGCUGCGGCCAAUCGAUCGUGGGGUUGUCAGGGCGUUUUUUACCGUGUUCGUUUGCACCCAGUGGUGGCGCCUCCGCUUCAACCGCGUCUGGCCCCAUCUGUCAGUCUCGUGGGUGCGUGGCAGUUUGGUCGUCCUUGGUCAUGUGAGCACCUCCGCUCGGUCCGCUGGGUAAAACAGGGUUUUCGGCCUCUACGUGCUGCUAAGCGGGAUUGCUUGGCCUCGUCUCGCUGCAGGUGGUCCCUUUCUAUCCUUGGUCCCAUGCGUUGGGUGAGUUGUGUUUCUCUUUAGGUUUCCCUAGAAGUUACAGCGCCUGCGAGAGGUGUUUCUGACCGGGUGCGUGGUUUCCUUCUGCUCUGCUCUGCCUAUGUGCCUCGCCUCUCUGCCCACUUCCCCUCGCCUGCGCCUCCUUGUCUUCUCUCAUCGAGUCGCCAUUGUCGCUUGUCGUAGUUGGUCAUCGAUAACCAGCGGCUUGCUCGUUGCCUGCUUAUCCUGUCGUCGGCUUGUUUCUUCAUGGCUCCUCGCGCUGCUGCUGUUGCGUUUGGCUAGGGGCUGCUGCGUCUGCUUUGUUGUCUGCCUGCGCGUUUGCUUGUUCUUUCUUUGUGAGGUCUUCCUUUGCGAUGUCUGGCUGCCUGAUCGGCUAAUUUUGUCACUCCCAGUUUGCCAAGUUUCUGCUGUGGUUCAGUUCACGUGACGCCUUGCACCCUGCCUUUCUUCUUGCCAAGAUGACAGCAGUUAAACAAGAAGAAGCAGACACAACCAGUGAUAUCAGCGGUAGCCAAAUUACCCAUGUAGGUGUUCUGUUUGCUAUUCAUUAAUGCGUGGGCGAUGAAUAUACGCAAAGCAGGUUCAAUCCAAAAGUUCAAAGGCAAGAAAAUCCAACUAAAGCCUGGAAAGUACAUUCUCCGUGACGGGACUACCGCUGUCACAACUACUUUAUCAAGGGUGUUUGACAAAAGAGUCACCAUUGGCUGGAGAACUUCUUCCCUCAGGCACACAUGAGCAAAGGGCAAGCAUAUGCUUUCACCUUCAAAUGCACUUCCAAGGGACUGCGCCUGAUCGUCUACUCAAUAUAAGCAAGUUGCAAGAGCCGCUUGUUAUAUAACUUAAUGUUAGUAUAAAUGCCUACCAAGACUUUGUGUUUAUCAUCCUUUUAGAUCUUAUGUAAUCCCUUAAGACCAUCUUGCGUGUUUAACUAUCGGCUAUUUCUUGCUUAGACUGUUGUGUUGUAUGCUUUUAAAACAGCAAUGAUAAAAGAAAUAUAUGCUCACUCUUCCAA